AACGUUUUCUAAGAAUUUACAGCUAACAAGGACAAACAGGGCAAGUGUGUCCCCGUGGCUUUUAAUUUAUUUAGUCAAAGAAGUAUGAACGGAUUGGUAAGUGUCGAAAUGUGCAUCAUUUCACACCAUACAGGCCAUCCACAUAGAUCACAGUGAGAUACACAGCUCCAUCUACUGUAAAUAUUUUGAAUUGGAUGUCUCUGGGUUUUGUACCAUAUGGACCUUAGUUUUACUUCACCCUGAAUUGAAUUUAGGAGUUUGUAAGACAGUGCAACAGUUUGGAGCAGCCUCCAGCCCAGGGGGGCAUUUGCUGCUCUGCUAACCCCUGUGCUGCCUCAGAAGGACUGAGGUUUGAGGAUAUGAACGGAGUUACUCUGCUUCCCCUAAAGCCACAGUCGCUGACGUGGGAUGACAUUAAAUGACGAGCGGGGAAAGGACUUCGGGAGGCUGUUGGAGAGGGAGUAGAGAACGCAAGUCCAGGGCGAGGGUAAGGACAGGCCGUGGUGUCUCACUUUUCCUGGCCGACCAGCAUUUCAGGGCCAUGAAAGGACAGGGUCAGAGGUGAUGGUUCUCCUCGGGACCGGGUCCUUCAUUUACAGCAGUUAUGCCAAGCACAGGCCAGACAACACGCCGUGAACUUGGAGAAGGCGCAAGCAGCUACUGUCCAGUAGACAAGAUACUCACACACUACGCUUUGCAGUAAGUGCUAGAAUAAAAGUAUAUGUGAAAUGCCUUGAAAGAAGAAAGAAAAACCUUUGCUCUGUCGUAGGAAGUAGGAGCUGGAGCAGAGAGGCAUCAGGUCUCAGAGUAGGGUGACCUCGCAGGGAAGGAGAUGGUUGAGAUAAACUCUGAAGAACGGUAGGAUUUCCAAGGGCACAGAAAGAGAGGAAGGGCAUUUCAGGCUAGGGGAAGAGCAUGAACUACUGCACAGAGGUGUGAAAUUUCACCAUGUGUUUAGGAAACAAGGGCAGCUAAGCUCAGCAAGCUUGGUAGGAUGGUGGGGCGAGAAGUUCUAUAAGCAGAGUCCAGUUUCUGCAGGACCUUGACUGCCAGGGUGAAACGCUGGCAAACACUGGGGAGCUUUGAGAGCUUUGUAGCAGGGCAGAGACAAGAGAGCAAUCAAUCAUCUGGAAGCGCAACGGAGGGUUUAGGACCAGAGGUCAGAGAGGCCAGUUAGGGAGCUAUUAUAACAAGGUCAGGAGAGAAAUGGAUGAUCAGAACCAGGGCAGUGACAGAAUACAGAGGACAAAACAGAAUCACAGAGGGAGUUCAAAGCUACCUCUGGAAUGUACAGCACUGGGCCAGUAACUGGACAUGGGUGACAUCUUAAACAGGACAGGCUAUUCGGAGAAGGAUUAUUUGGUUAUGAUCCAUCUGUUGGCACAGCAAAUGGCACAUAGAAAGUAUUCUAUCCAUGUAAUCUACUGUAAUCUAUUAUUCUUACCACUAUUAUCACUAUUCUUUUUUUCUUUUCUUUCUGUCUCUUUUUUUCUUUUUUAGGGCCGCACCCACAGCAUACGGAGGUUCCCAGGCUAGGGGUGGAAUGAGAGCUGUAGCUGCCAGCCUGCACCAAAGCCACAACAACGCGGGAUCUGAGCCACAUCUGCAACCUACACCACAGCUCAUGGCAACGCUGGAUCCUUAACCCAGUGAGUGGGGCCAGGGAUCGAACCUGCAUCCUCAUGGAUAGUAGUUGGAUUUGUUUCUGCUGAGCCAUGACAGGAACUCUUUGCUAUUCUUUUUUAAUCUCAAAACUAACUCAUCUUUUGCUGAUUUUUUUUUUUCAGAUACUGUCAUAGAUAACUUUAGGAAAGUUAUGUAUUUGGAUUUCUUCAUAUUAAGCAAAACAUCACUGGAAUCGCAAAUGUCACUAGAAAACCUGUCUCAUUGCAUAAAGAUCAUUAAAC
Molecule: long non-coding RNA, 1907 nt
Filed under: Sus scrofa (pig)
Lineage: Eukaryota; Metazoa; Chordata; Mammalia; Artiodactyla; Suidae
Description: lncRNA (ENSSSCG00000057191.1)
Source: RNAcentral